RNAcentral lists this non-coding RNA (24 nucleotides) under Rattus norvegicus (Norway rat). The record is from RNAcentral. Lineage: Eukaryota; Metazoa; Chordata; Mammalia; Rodentia; Muridae.
UGCUCAGCAUUCAGGAGUGUGAGC